Long non-coding RNA from Chenopodium quinoa (quinoa), 245 nucleotides. RefSeq lists it as uncharacterized. The transcript is spliced from 2 exons. The record is from RefSeq and is a predicted model, not a curated record. NCBI's taxonomy places the organism in Eukaryota, Viridiplantae, Streptophyta, Magnoliopsida, Caryophyllales, Amaranthaceae.
ACCGCCGCCGCCACCAAGUCCACUUAUUUUCUGGUCAAAUUUGAGGUGUUAAUUCAUGCAACAAUUCAAGGAUUCAAGACUUUUUUUUGGAAUAUUGUUUUGAUGUUGUAAUUUUUUUUUUUAUUGUUUUACAAUUUCAAUUUCUGAGUUGAAUUUCAUUAUAAUUCAUUGUAACUUUUUAAUUUUUUUUUUGUAUUGUACAAUAACAAUUUACUUGAAUAUAAUGUGAUUUACAAUUGUUUUGA